Aethalodelphis obliquidens (Pacific white-sided dolphin) is the source of this 741-nucleotide long non-coding RNA. RefSeq lists it as uncharacterized. The transcript has 2 exons. Lineage: Eukaryota; Metazoa; Chordata; Mammalia; Artiodactyla; Delphinidae. The record is from RefSeq and is a predicted model, not a curated record.
CCAAGAUCCCGCAAGCCGCGCGGCGCAGCCUAAAUAAAGUCCAUUUGGGAAGUGCUCUACACGGCACAUUCUGUUCCGUGACGUCUGAGAACCACACUUGUCACUGCUCCCGCGCAGGGCCCACUUUGGUCUGAGUCAACGGGAUUGGGUCCAGGUCGAGAACACUGGAUCCACCUCGUCCUGAAGGCUCAACCAAACACGUUUCUCACAUGACCUUGGUACCUCCCAACAGUGCCUCAAUUUACCAACCUUUCAUUUCCCCUGCAUUUUGGGCUUAACAGACCAACCAAAAUGGACUUUGUCAUUUGCUCUACUUAGUGAGUUAAAUACAUUCCAGGUUCUGAGCAAAUACGCAUAACGUACUUUCCCUCAUAAGCAAGAUUCCUUUGGGAUGAAGCACUGCAACAACGUGGCUGGGUCUCUGAGUCAUCACGCCGAGUGAAGCAAGCCAGACCAAAAAGGGACGUGCUGCCUGACCCAUCCGCGUCAAUUCCAGAAGGUGCAAAGGACCCACUGUGGCAGGAAGUGGGCAAGUGGGGUCGUGUUCAUGACCUUCACAGGGCGCUGCUCCCACGGGGUCUCGAGACUCAUCCAGUUGUAUACGUCACAGGUGAAUUGGUAACAUUACUGGAAAUAUUUUUAUGACCUGAAGGAAAUGUUAUUUUUUCAAACUUUCAACCAUCAAAUACUUCAUGGGAAAUUAACGCGUGUUGCAAACAUUAAAACAAUUCAUUAAAUAGG